GAGUCUAGCAUGCACGCGAGUCAUCGGGAUAAAACUAAACCCGUAGGCGUAGUGAAAGCAAACGAUCGUCUCGCGCGAUCGGAGGGAGGAUGGGUUGUGCGCUUUAACCGGCGUUAGCCUCGCACUCCCGGGGCGUCUCGCGGUCAUCGCGACCUGAGGCGCACCUAGAGCGUGCACGCUGGGACCCGAAAGAUGGUGAACUAUGCCUGGUCAGGACGAAGUCAGGGGAAACCCUGAUGGAGGUCCGUAGCGAUUCUGACGUGCAAAUCGAUCGUCGGAACUGGGUAUAGGGGCGAAAGACUAAUCGAACCAUCUAGUAGCUGGUUCCCUCCGAAGUUUCCCUCAGGAUAGCUGGCGCCCGUACGUUUCGAGUCUCAUCCGGUAAAGCGAAUGAUUAGAGGCAUUGGGGUCGAAACGGUCUCAACCUAUUCUCAAACUUUAAAUGGGUGAGAUCUCCGGCCUGCUCGAUCGAGGCCGGAGAUCGGAUCAGGGUGCCAAGUGGGCCACUUUUGGUAAGCAGAACUGGCGCUGUGGGAUGAACCAAACGCAGUGUUAAAGCGCCCAAAUCGACGCUAAUGGGACACCAUGAAAGGCGUUGGUAACUUAAGACAGCAGGACGGUGGCCAUGGAAGUCGGA
RNAcentral lists this ribosomal RNA (637 nucleotides) under Scirtes sp. NLG-2014. Its description in RNAcentral is "eukaryotic LSU rRNA". It matches the Rfam family "Eukaryotic large subunit ribosomal RNA", at positions 671 to 1265 of the family's 3401-position model. The record is from RNAcentral. Lineage: Eukaryota; Metazoa; Arthropoda; Insecta; Coleoptera; Scirtidae.